This 613-nucleotide ribosomal RNA is filed under the name uncultured bacterium. RNAcentral describes it as "bacterial SSU rRNA". It matches the Rfam family "Bacterial small subunit ribosomal RNA", at positions 338 to 950 of the family's 1533-position model. The record is from RNAcentral.
CCUACGGGAGGCAGCAGUAAGGAAUAUUGGUCAAUGGACGCAAGUCUGAACCAGCCAUGCCGCGUGAAGGAUUAAGGCCCUCUGGGUUGUAAACUUCUUUUAUAGGGGACGAAAAAAGGGCAUUCUUGCUCACUUGACGGUACCCUAGGAAUAAGCACCGGCUAACUCCGUGCCAGCAGCCGCGGUAAUACGGAGGGUGCAAGCGUUAUCCGGAUUUACUGGGUUUAAAGGGUGCGUAGGUGGGUUGGUAAGUCAGUGGUGAAAUCUUCGAGCUUAACUCGGAAACUGCCAUUGAUACUAUCAAUCUUGAAUCAUCUAGAGGUAAGCGGAAUAUGUCAUGUAGCGGUGAAAUGCUUAGAUAUGACAUAGAACACCAAUUGCGAAGGCAGCUUACUAUGGAUGUAUUGACACUGAGGCACGAAAGCGUGGGGAUCAAACAGGAUUAGAUACCCUGGUAGUCCACGCCCUAAACGAUGGAUACUCGACAUUUGUGAUAUACUAUAAGUGUCUGAGCGAAAGCAUAAGUAUCCCACCUGGGAAGUAACGACCGCAAGGUUCGAAACUUAAAUUGAAUUGACCGGNGNGAGAGNGCGAGACGACGACGAGGAGGAGG